Molecule: ribosomal RNA, 460 nt
Filed under: uncultured bacterium
Lineage: Bacteria
Description: partial 16S ribosomal RNA
Rfam family: Bacterial small subunit ribosomal RNA
Source: RNAcentral
CCUACGGGGGGCAGCAGUGAGGAAUAUUGGUCAAUGGACGAGAGUCUGAACCAGCCAAGUAGCGUGAAGGAUGACUGCCCUAUGGGUUGUAAACUUCUUUUAUAAAGGAAUAAAACGAGGCACGUGUGCCUUUUUGCAUGUACUUUAUGAAUAAGGAUCGGCUAACUCCGUGCCAGCAGCCGAGGUAAUACGGAGGAUCCGAGCGUUAUCCGGAUUUAUUGGGUUUAAAGGGAGCGUAGAUGGGUUGUUAAGUCAGUUGUGAAAGUUUGCGGCUCAACCGUAAAAUUGCAAUUGAUACUGGCAGUCUUGAGUACAGUUGAGGUAGGCAGAAUUCGUGGUGUAGCGGUGAAAUGCUUAGAUAUCACGAAGAACCCCGAUUGCGAAGGCAGCUUACUAAACUGUGACUGACAUUGAUGCUCGAAAGUGUGGGUAGCAAACAGGAUUAGAUACCCCUGUAGUC